UGAGCUUGAUCCUGGCUCAGGAUGAACGCUAGCGGCAGGCUUAACACAUGCAAGUCGAGGGGUAGAGCACUUCGGUGCUUGAGACCGGCGCACGGGUGCGUAACGCGUAUGCAAUCUGCCUUUCACAGAGGGAUAGCCCAGAGAAAUUUGGAUUAAUACCUCAUAGUAUUACGACUUGGCAUCGAGAUGUAAUUAAAGUCACAACGGUGAAAGAUGAGCAUGCGUCCCAUUAGCUAGUUGGUAAGGUAACGGCUUACCAAGGCAACGAUGGGUAGGGGUCCUGAGAGGGAGAUCCCCCACACUGGUACUGAGACACGGACCAGACUCCUACGGGAGGCAGCAGUGAGGAAUAUUGGACAAUGGGCGCAAGCCUGAUCCAGCCAUGCCGCGUGCAGGAUGACGGUCCUAUGGAUUGUAAACUGCUUUUGUACGAGAAGAAACACUCCUAUGUAUAGGAGCUGA
RNAcentral lists this ribosomal RNA (462 nucleotides) under Flavobacterium sp. 01WB02.1-41. RNAcentral describes it as "bacterial SSU rRNA". It matches the Rfam family "Bacterial small subunit ribosomal RNA", at positions 1 to 472 of the family's 1533-position model. Lineage: Bacteria; Pseudomonadati; Bacteroidota; Flavobacteriia; Flavobacteriales; Flavobacteriaceae. The record is from RNAcentral.